AUGAACGCUGGCGGCGUGCCUAAUACAUGCAAGUCGAGCGAACAGACGAGGAGCUUGCUCCUCUGACGUUAGCGGCGGACGGGUGAGUAACACGUGGAUAACCUACCUAUAAGACUGGGAUAACUUCGGGAAACCGGAGCUAAUACCGGAUAAUAUAUUGAACCGCAUGGUUCAAUAGUGAAAGACGGUUUUGCUGUCACUUAUAGAUGGAUCCGCGCCGCAUUAGCUAGUUGGUAAGGUAACGGCUUACCAAGGCAACGAUGCGUAGCCGACCUGAGAGGGUGAUCGGCCACACUGGAACUGAGACACGGUCCAGACUCCUACGGGAGGCAGCAGUAGGGAAUCUUCCGCAAUGGGCGAAAGCCUGACGGAGCAACGCCGCGUGAGUGAUGAAGGUCUUCGGAUCGUAAAACUCUGUUAUUAGGGAAUAACAAAUGUGUAAGUAACUAUGCACGUCUUGACGGUACCUAAUCAGAAAGCCACGGCUAACUACGUG
This 496-nucleotide ribosomal RNA is filed under the name uncultured bacterium. Its description in RNAcentral is "partial 16S ribosomal RNA". It matches the Rfam family "Bacterial small subunit ribosomal RNA", at positions 29 to 507 of the family's 1533-position model. The record is from RNAcentral.